This 301-nucleotide ribosomal RNA is filed under the name uncultured bacterium. RNAcentral's name for it is "partial 16S ribosomal RNA". It matches the Rfam family "Bacterial small subunit ribosomal RNA", at positions 509 to 809 of the family's 1533-position model. The record is from RNAcentral.
CAGUAGCCGCGGUAAAACGAAGGGUGCAAGCGUUAAUCGGAAUUACUGGGCGUAAAGCGUGCGUAGGCGGUGAGUUAAGUCUGCUGUGAAAUCCCCGGGCUCAACCUGGGAAUUGCAGUGGAUACUGGGUCACUAGAGUGUGGUAGAGGAUAGUGGAAUUUCCGGUGUAGCAGUGAAAUGCGUAGAGAUCGGAAGGAACAUCUGUGGCGAAGGCGACUAUCUGGGCCAACACUGACACUGAGGCACGAAAGCGUGGGGAGCAAACAGGAUUAGAUACCCCUGUAGUCCCUGUCUCUUAUAU